UGGAGUGGGCAUGCCAUGGGCAAGGAAAUGGGGAGGGAGCAUUCCAAGGAGCAAAUCAAAGCCUGCUUCAGUAGUAGGGAGCAUUUUCCACACAUCAUUCGCACAAAAGGUGCCCCUUGGCCUGGGGCAGUCUCCACUAGUAUAAAAGCCAGUCCAACUGCAGCUCCCUCAUCCACUUCUCUUGCCUUCUCCUCCUUGGUGAGCAAAGUGCACCUCCGUCCCACAGCCAUGUCCUGCUACGAUCUGUGCCGUCCCUGUGGCCCAACCCCACUCGCCAACAGCUGCAACGAGCCCUGUGUCAGGCAGUGCCAGGACUCCCGAGUGAUUAUUGAACCGUCUCCCGUGGUGGUGACCCUGCCCGGACCCAUCCUCAGCUCCUUCCCCCAGAACACCGCUGUGGGAUCCACCACCUCUGCUGCUGUUGGCAGCAUCCUGAGCCAGGAGGGAGUGCCCAUCAACUCCGGGGGCUUCAGCCUCUCUGGCUUUGGUGGUCGCUACGGCAGAAGAUGCCUGCCCUGCUAAGGUCGGGCUGGGCGUGCAGUGAACACAUCGACCAGGAAGACCAAAGCCACUCACCAGACUGAGGAUGGAGCUGCUGGACAGGGUUUCCAGAGUAUUUGAGCAUCUUCACAUCCUCCUAUGAAAUAGGGAGACAAAUACAAGUGUCAUCCUGUACUCUCUGGAAACCCAGCCAGCUGAUGUUGUCUUCUCCUGCUUUCUUCUCUGCAUCAUGAGCUCCCCUUGUCUCCUGCUGUCCUGUUCCAUGGGUUCAUCCUGAAGCAAGUUGAGAAGGGUCCUGUUCAUCACCCUCUGUAUAUGUGUGUGGAUUGAUGUGUGUCCCAUCGCUUUGAAGGGCUGCCUGAGUGUCAGCUGCCCUUGGAGCACCUCGCUCGGGUCCCUUCCAGCACGCCCUGCUUUGUUUCUGUCUUAAGACUCAUUAAAGUUCAUGCUGCAUUGUA
Cuculus canorus (common cuckoo) is the source of this 959-nucleotide RNA transcript. It is a transcript of the gene named feather beta keratin, with no coding region annotated. Lineage: Eukaryota; Metazoa; Chordata; Aves; Cuculiformes; Cuculidae. The record is from RefSeq and is a predicted model, not a curated record. The transcript is spliced from 3 exons.